AAUGAGUUGUUUAUCUUAGGAGAGGGAGACUCAUGGCUCUGAGUUGAGAACUGAUGAGAAGCCCAGCUCCAAACUAUCUCACACUGAGGUAAAACAACAAUUUGCUUUGAUUUGAGAGAGCAGCCUGUGAUCCCCCUAGAACUGAUCUCCUCUUGUUGUCAAUAACUUGACUCUGAGUGACAGCUGAGUGAGUACCCAGUGGGAUCUCAAGGGGCAGACACAGGGCCCCUCAAAAGCAAAAUGCCACUGAUAAGGUAGCUGCUUCACCAAAAUAAGUGCUGGUGCUUAAUGCUCCUAUCCAGGAUGAAAGGAGUGAAUAGCAAGCUGUUGUUUCAGCCUUCCUGGCAGCUCGAUUUCUUCUCAGAGGAAUAAUGAAGUGGUAGAACCCUUACCUAUGUAGGUGAUCCUUUCCAAAGCCUCUCUAUUCUUCCUGUUAAGUUCUUCCUCUGUCCCCAUUGCUGUAGUUUGACCUUCCCACUGUGGAGGUAGGCCUGGAUUCAUCCUGCCUAGGCAUUUAACUUAGGGUUUCACAUCAUCAUGAAUUGUGCUGAGAGUGUAGGUGAUGGUUGUCUCUCCAUCUCUUCUUGUAGAAUGAACUAGGAACCAGGUUCAAAGCUAACACAAAGGAUGUGUUCUUCAUGCCAGAUGGAGCUCCUUGCUAAAGAAUAUUGAGGACUUUGUAUAGUUUGUGUAGGUUUAAGGCAAAAUUGCACAAGUAUCUGGAAGACAGAUUCCCUGAAUAUUAAACAGAUGAACAAGCCCUGUCAGGCUCAGGAAACUACCUGAACUGAAAGUAGCUGGAGGCUGAGAAUAUUAAGGAGAAAUUAUAUAUGCUUGCCUCACUACCUAUGCAUCUGUGCCAGCUGCUGUAGAAGAGAGGAUACUUGGGCUGGGUGCAGCCCUGGCACAAAGUGAAAUGGCUGCUGGUGUCUGUGUGCAGUGUCUGUAGGACACUAAGGCAUUGCUCUCUUUGUCCCUAGGUAGAGCAGGAGCUUUCAGGCAGCAGUGCAUUUCUCAGGAAAUACUCUGAGAAGCGCUCUGGAGGCGUGUGCUCGUACCUGCAUCGCGUGUGCCGGGCAGCGCUGCCGCUGCAGCUGCUGCUCCUGCUGCUCCUGCUCCUGGCCUUCCUCCUGCCCCUGGCAGAAGAGACCCACAGCUGCACGCUGGCCAACAACUUCGCUCGCUCCUUCAAGCUGAUGCUGAGAUACGAGGGCCCACCUCCAACAUAAGCUCUUGGCAUGGCACGAGGUGACGGGCAGAAGUGCAGGCUCCUUGUUUUUAAUUGCAACUGUUGUAGAUUUUAGGGUUUUUAACAUGGCCAUCAUGCCAACUGGAUAGAUCACAUAACUGCAACAUAUGAUUAACCCAUUUUAAUCAGGUAUUUGAGCAAAAUUAAUAUUUUUACAAAUUUUUUAUUGUUGUAUUUAUAAUAUGUAUAUAGAGAUUGUGUAUGUGUAUGUAU
This 1462-nucleotide long non-coding RNA is filed under the name Catharus ustulatus (Swainson's thrush). RNAcentral describes it as "lncRNA (ENSCUSG00005011860.1)". The record is from RNAcentral. Lineage: Eukaryota; Metazoa; Chordata; Aves; Passeriformes; Turdidae.